GUUUAUUUCAAGCACACUGACGAUGCGGAUAUUAAUUCCGAAGUUACAUGCGGUGAUUUAAAUAACAGUGCAGAUUGCAGUGCAUUUGCAUCGUCAGCAAAUGACAAGACGGCUGUAACUUCAGAUGAAAAUGUUGUUCAGCUCGUUGAUGACAGUGAGAAUGAUGAUGGAGAGAAUGUUUACAUGGAUGCGACAGGGGGACAACACUCCGUCCAGGAUUCUAUUGUGAAACAUGUAGUGUCAGAUUCGUUUUACAAGAUUAAAACGACAGAAAAUGUGUUCGACAAAAAAGACCAGUUUUACAAAAGAAGAUUGGAGUGCCUUGAGAAAGAACAUAAAAUAAAAGUACAUUGUAUUCUCGCGGAACAUGAAAUAAAAAUGGUAACACUGAAAUUGGAUAGAGAAAUUAGAG
Molecule: long non-coding RNA, 412 nt
Organism: Schistocerca piceifrons (Central American locust)
Lineage: Eukaryota; Metazoa; Arthropoda; Insecta; Orthoptera; Acrididae
Exons: 3
Source: RefSeq, a predicted model, not a curated record